This 63-nucleotide transfer RNA is filed under the name Nepsalus decorillus. RNAcentral's name for it is "tRNA-Leu". RNAcentral also lists the same sequence under 1 other name. Lineage: Eukaryota; Metazoa; Arthropoda; Insecta; Neuroptera; Myrmeleontidae. The record is from RNAcentral.
AUUACUUUGGCAGAUUAGUGCAUUGAAUUUAGAAUUCAAUAAUGUGAAUUUUUACAUGUAAUA